RNAcentral lists this ribosomal RNA (492 nucleotides) under uncultured bacterium. RNAcentral describes it as "partial 16S ribosomal RNA". It matches the Rfam family "Bacterial small subunit ribosomal RNA", at positions 29 to 507 of the family's 1533-position model. The record is from RNAcentral.
AGUGAACGCUGGCGGUAGGCCUAACACAUGCAAGUCGAACGGCAGCACAGUAAGAGCUUGCUCUUACGGGUGGCGAGUGGCGGACGGGUGAGGAAUACAUCGGAAUCUACUUUUUCGUGGGGGAUAACGUAGGGAAACUUACGCUAAUACCGCAUACGACCUACGGGUGAAAGCAGGGGAUCUUCGGACCUUGCGCGAUUGAAUGAGCCGAUGUCGGAUUAGCUAGUUGGCGGGGUAAAGGCCCACCAAGGCGACGAUCCGUAGCUGGUCUGAGAGGAUGAUCAGCCACAAUGGAACUGAGACACGGUCCAGACUCCUACGGGAGGCAGCAGUGGGGAAUAGUGGACAAUGGGCGCAAGCCUGAUCCAGCCAUACCGCGUGGGUGAAGAAGGCCUUCGGGUUGUAAAGCCCUUUUGUUGGGAAAGAAAAGCAGCAGGUUAAUACCCCGCUGUUCUGACGGUACCCAAAGAAUAAGCACCGGCUAACUUCGUG